AUGGCAGCAGCCGAGGCCUCGAACUGCAUCAUAGAGGUUUCCUGUGGCCAAGCAGAAAGUAGUGAGAAGCCCAUCGCUGAGGACAUGACAUCCAAAGACUACUACUUUGACUCCUAUGCCCACUUUGGCAUCCACAAGGAGAUGCUGAAGGAUGAGGUGUGCACCCUUACAUACCGCAACUCCAUGUUUCACAAUCGGCAUCUUUUCAAAGACAAGGUGGUCCUGGAUGUGGGCUCAGGUACUGGCAUCCUCUGCAUGUUCGCUGCCAAGGCUGGGGCCCACAAGGUUAUUGGGAUUGAGUGUUCCAGUAUCUCCGAUUAUGCUUGUGAGCUCAAGUACUGGCCUGAGCUCAGACACCAACUGUUUAUUUGA
Mastomys coucha (southern multimammate mouse) is the source of this 372-nucleotide RNA transcript. It is a transcript of the gene named protein arginine N-methyltransferase 1 pseudogene, with no coding region annotated. Lineage: Eukaryota; Metazoa; Chordata; Mammalia; Rodentia; Muridae. The record is from RefSeq and is a predicted model, not a curated record. The transcript has a single exon.